CAUUAAAUGAAUGUCGUGUCUAAAACUACCAAAAUAUCCUUAGUGCACACUCUAUAAUAGCUUAAAAUUUUCUCUUAAAAGUGGGAGUUCCUUGAUUAUUCAAGUACGAGGAUCAUCUUUUUCUUCCCAAGAGCUUGAACACCAUUGCAAAAGUUUCAAAGUCCCUUAGACCUUGAGGCCACCACCCUAUCAUCCAAAAUCUUACUUUAAAUCUCUAGCUCUAUCUAACCUUAGACCUUUUUUUUAAGACUUGAUUUCUUGAAAUACUAUUUUAUCUUCUUCUCCCUCCAUUUUUAUACCUUUAUGGAAGAUCUUGGCCACCUCAUCUCUCAAAUAAGCUCAUCUAUUACUCUUCUUUUAGAAAACUCUCUAAUCUUUAUAAGACCCACAUUUCCCUCAUGUUAUUGUCUACCAUAAACAACCUUUAAUAAGUUUUUUUUGAUAUUGUAAAAUAAAUCAUGUAAUACUCCGCAUACAUAGUGGAUUGGAAAUUAUUACUCCGGUAGAUGUAGGCCAAAAGGCCGAAUCACAUAUAAUAUUGUGUGUUCUUUAUUCUUAUACUUAUGUUCUUCAUAUUAUGAUGAUUUUGAUACCCAUAACACAUUUCAUAUAUGAGCUCACCUAAGUUAUCUUGCAAGCUCUAUUAAGGUCCUUGAAUAAGCUCUCUAUAGCUAUCAUUGAAUUCGUUAGAGCUCUCCAUGUCAACUCUCUAAAUUAACUCCACAAAACUCUUCAUAUUACUCCAAAAUCAAAACACCUCAGUUCAUCACUCAAAUCACCUCAGCUCACCUCCCAAAUCACUUCAACUAUACCUCCCACCCUAAACUCAAAACAAUACGUCUAAACUCAAACAUAACACAAUCUCCCCUCAAAUAUAAAGUUAUUUGUUUAAAUUGAAUUUGAACUGGAUCCGAUGAAAACAACCACUUAAUGGCUCAAAUGGGAUCUUAGAAAAAAUU
RNAcentral lists this long non-coding RNA (959 nucleotides) under Citrus x clementina. RNAcentral describes it as "Citrus clementina (C. clementina) long non-coding RNA (CCLE_LNC005690)". Lineage: Eukaryota; Viridiplantae; Streptophyta; Magnoliopsida; Sapindales; Rutaceae. The record is from RNAcentral.